UUGCAUCUCUGACAGACCUGAAACAGUUAAUGUCUGCGGCUAAGGUUUCCACUACAGAUGCAGGAAAAAGAAGGUCCCUGUGCUUUCUCUCUGUCUGGUGUGGCAGCCAAGAUUGAAUGGGGGACUACAAGA
RNAcentral lists this small nucleolar RNA (132 nucleotides) under Dasypus novemcinctus (nine-banded armadillo). Its description in RNAcentral is "Small nucleolar RNA SNORA31 (ENSDNOG00000045616.1)". It matches the Rfam family "Small nucleolar RNA SNORA31". Rfam says of the family: ACA31 (SNORA31) belongs to the H/ACA class of snoRNAs which are thought to guide the sites of modification of uridines to pseudouridines. The record is from RNAcentral. Lineage: Eukaryota; Metazoa; Chordata; Mammalia; Cingulata; Dasypodidae.